AGGAUAUAUAAGCAGUAGCCAAUUCUGCACGGAGGUCAGAUGUAUUUCUGCACUGAAACGGAGAGUGAUUACAUGUGCACAGAGUCCCAUAGAUUUUAUUAAGGAAGUAAGAAAGAACUAGAAACAGAUCUGGUGCUACAGAAAACGGACAAGAAACAAUCAGAGAUGGAGCUUCUGACAACCGCCUUCGCCAUCAUUCUUCUGUCUACAACAGCCUCCGCUAAUCCGAUUGGUUGGCGACAGCAUCAUGAUGCUGAGAUUGCUGACAAUGACCUGAUGCAAGGAAGGCUGGAAGGGAAUACCAGGUGGCCUUCUACUGAAUCUUCCAGCUACAAAGACUCGUCUUCAGAGUCGAAUCAGUCACCGGAGUCUUCGGAAUCUUCAGAAUCUUCGGAAUCUUCGGAGGAGUCCUCUGAGGAGGUUUUAAUCACCGACCAGACCACAACGGUCAUUACCACCACUGCCAUGACAACCAUCACUAUGAUAAAAGGGAGUAUGGCCACCGCUGAGCCAGACAUGAUGAGCACAGAUGAGCCAAGGAAAACCGCCUCGCCAGGAACACCGACCACACCUGAUGCUGCCACGUCACCUGGAUGUGUGACUCGUUGUUUUACAGAGGAGAUUCCAACGGCAGCUCCCUUCACUGAAGACAGAGGAGACAACUAACCAACCACCUUCCUAUUGCAAAUGAAUUUUUCAGGCUAUUUGCAAGAGUUGUGAAUAAUAAUCUCGAAGAUUUUAAUGUAUAUAAAUGUAUUAACCCACUAUCUAUCGGCAAAUAAGAUAACACAUUGGGGAUUGAGCCUGUGGCCAACUGAUGAAAGCCCUUGCAUUUGCAGUAUUACGAACUGGGUGACAAAUCACAAGCGGCGCUCUCUGAGAAGUGAGAUCCAAAAACACAUAUGCAAUUAUCGCCUAUCAACAAAACGCCAACAUAUAUGAACAGAUAGUCAGUGAGACCAGUUUGUAACUAGAAGUUCCUCUAGAUUAACUAGCUAACUGUAUCACUAACUGCCUUAAGAUGCAUGUCCUUUAAAGACCACUAGAUGUUUGAUACAAAAGUACUAUAUUAAAGUAAUGUUUUGUAAAAAUAUAUAUAUUUUUAAAAAAUGCAUAAUUUUGUUUCACUGCCUGUCUACCUGUAUAUCACAUGUUGUAUGUUUUUUGGUUGAAUACUUAAAAAUGUACUGCUAGCUUCUUAAGAGUACCAACUCUAGCUUUAAGCCAUCAAAUGUUGAUGCUACAGAGCAACUUUUAUAGAGACUAGACGACAUACAUGUUUACAUAUGGUAAUAUUACACAAACAAAUCUGUGGCUCAGUCAUGUUUAAUUUUUAAGUAUUAGCUCAUUUAGGAAAGUACAGGCAAGAUACUUUGGUGUGCCAAAAUAAUCGUUUCAGUGUUUCUACAUAGAUCUGCUAGUGAAAUACUGUUUAAGGGUUUGUAGCACCUGUUGCACAAGCUUGUUACAACAAGUAUAUAUUGUACUUGAAUUUUACAAAAGAAAGGUUUGCGUAAAUCAUCCAGAGUAUGAAUCCCACAGCAGUGUGUUUAUAGAGUGUGGUGGGUGCGUCCUGGUGUCUUUUUCAGCAUGUACAGACGAGAGCUAACAAUACAAAAUGAGUUAUUGCGACAGUGGUUGGUUUAAUUAUGGGUUGUGAAUUCAUAUUUUCCCAAAUGAAAUAUGACUUUUGAGUUUUUGGUUUGUUUUUUAUUUUUGUUCAACUGAAUCUAAUCUGUAUGAUUGUAUGCAUUGUAACCAUACUGAUUUUUCUUCCAAAUGAAAUUAAAGAAAUAAAAAUUGCAAUGUUAUUGUCAUAUUUGUAUUUGUAGAUUGACUUAUUGAUUUAUUUUCUUUUUUUGGGUUAUUAUGAUGAAUUUAGGUUUAAUCAAAAAUAAAUAUUACAUAUAAAUAUCUAAAAUAUCCCAGGAAACAGUGACCAACCCAGUGAUUCCCACAAAGAAGUUUCUACUGUACAGUAG
Cottoperca gobio is the source of this 1982-nucleotide long non-coding RNA. Ensembl annotates it as osteocalcin 2-like. The record is from Ensembl. Lineage: Eukaryota; Metazoa; Chordata; Actinopteri; Perciformes; Bovichtidae.